UGCGUAGGUGGUUUUGUAUGUCGGAUGUGAAAGCCCACGGCUCAACCGUGGAAUUGCAUUCGAAACUGCAGAACUAGAGUGCAGGAGGGGAGAGCGGAAUUCUUGGUGUAGCGGUGAAAUGCGUUGAUAUCAAGAAGAACACCGGUGGCGAAGGCGGCUCUCUGGAAUGUUACUGACACUGAGGCACGAAAGCUGGGGGAGCGAACAGGAUUAGAUACCCUGGUAGUCC
This 229-nucleotide ribosomal RNA is filed under the name uncultured bacterium. RNAcentral's name for it is "partial 16S ribosomal RNA". It matches the Rfam family "Bacterial small subunit ribosomal RNA", at positions 568 to 796 of the family's 1533-position model. The record is from RNAcentral.